UCCGUAGGUGAACCUGCGGAAGGAUCACUAGUGAUUAAACGGAAAGCGUCUUAACUGACCUUUCCACCCUUCACAUCCACAUACACCCUGUGAACCGUUUGGCUCUUUUUUCCGUUUCUCUCUUCGGAGGGAAGGAAGGAGACGAAGAAGGAACGCUUUAGAUUUUCGUCAAAAGAAGUCUAAAGUCGACCUUUGGAGUUUUCCUGAAGGAAAAGGAGUCAUCAAUCAUAUACAUACACGAAGUCUAAUGAAUGUAAACGUUUUAUAUAAACAAAAUAAAACUUUCAACAACGGAUCUCUUGGUUCUCGCAUCGAUGAAGAACGCAGCGAAAUGCGAUAAGUAAUGUGAAUUGCAGAAUUCAGUGAAUCAUCGAAUCUUUGAACGCACCUUGCACUCUCUGGUAUUCCGGAGAGUACGCCUGUUUGAGUGUCAUGAAACUCUCACUCCCAACGUUUUCUAACGACGACGAUGGGACGUGGACUUGAGUCGUGCUGGCCUGCGUCUGACGCGGUCGGCUGACUUGAAAAGAAUUAGCUGGAUCCUCUUUGUAAUUGGUUCUACUCGACGUAAUAAGUAUUUCGUCGAGGACAGUCUUAACGGACUGGCCGAGAUAAAAGGAGUAACAACAUAGAUCCGCUUCUAAUCCGUGCUUUCUCUCCUUGAGAACACAACUUUUUAUGAUCUGGCCUCAAAUCAGGUGGGACUACCCGCUGAACUUAAGCAUAUCAAUAAGCGGAGGA
This 741-nucleotide ribosomal RNA is filed under the name Udeniomyces megalosporus. RNAcentral's name for it is "eukaryotic LSU rRNA". The stretch from base 280 to 433 matches the Rfam family "5.8S ribosomal RNA". Lineage: Eukaryota; Fungi; Basidiomycota; Tremellomycetes; Cystofilobasidiales; Mrakiaceae. The record is from RNAcentral. RNAcentral also lists the same sequence under 1 other name.